Solanum pennellii is the source of this 873-nucleotide long non-coding RNA. RefSeq lists it as uncharacterized. The record is from RefSeq and is a predicted model, not a curated record. The transcript is spliced from 4 exons. NCBI's taxonomy places the organism in Eukaryota, Viridiplantae, Streptophyta, Magnoliopsida, Solanales, Solanaceae.
UAUGGGAAAAGGAUCAGAAAUAGCCCUCAACUUUGUUUUAUCGGUUGAUUUUGCCCUUACCAUUAAAGUGAAGUUAAUUUUAUCCCUAUCGUUACUAAUUUCACCAUAUAUACCCCUCAUUUGGAUGGAAAACCCCAAAUUUUUAAAAAACCCAUUCCAUUUUUACCCGAUGCCCCGACCCUUUUGUCUCGUUUUUGGUGGAAUUUCACAUUUUUCACGUGCUUUAAGCCAAAACACCUGUUACCUCCUCUUCAUCAUCAUCUGCUUAUUCUUCUUCUACAUCAUUUUCACUGAUUGGUCGUUGUUUUCUCCCUUUGCGAAACAUUCUCACUAGUAAGAUUCUCUCUAGCUGCUGAAGGAGCGGUCUAGCCUUGUACGGCGCCGUCGUGAAAGCUGUGGAUUCGUUAGGAAAGUGUUUUCGGCGAGUGAAAGUGGAACCGAUGAAAACUGCAUAUGAUAGGGAAAUGGAAAGAUGAAAGGGAGGAUUUCUCUCACAAAAGGUACACACUUUAGGCACACAAUGUUUAGAAGGUCUGUAGAUAUUAUGCCUACUCGUUUGCUAACACAUUAAGUAAAUCAUAGAGGAACACAAAAAGAGGGAACCUGAUUUUUCUGUAAUACUAAGUCUCCAUGGAAGCUAGAAGUCAAGAAGAGCUAGGAGGCUGUUGGUGGUUGAUUUCUUCACCAAAAAUCAUUGGGUUUUCUUCUUUUUGAGUCUAUAAAUAUAGGUUUGGAAGCAAGCUUGAAGUUUAGAAGGCAAGCUUGGGAUUUGAUUCUCUCAAGACAAAGUAUGUCCUCACAUACUCGAGGGCAUAGUUCGUAUUCUUUUAGUUUUGUAUAAGUUCUUAUUAUGUAUUUCUUUCAAAUGUAAAG